Oncorhynchus kisutch (coho salmon) is the source of this 5165-nucleotide RNA transcript. It is a transcript of the gene named SUMO-activating enzyme subunit 2-like, with no coding region annotated. The record is from RefSeq and is a predicted model, not a curated record. Lineage: Eukaryota; Metazoa; Chordata; Actinopteri; Salmoniformes; Salmonidae. The transcript has 15 exons.
AUAAAAUCCACAAAAGAAGAAGCUACUAUCUCGUCCUCUACAGUUUCUAUCUUGAAGCAGUCAACAAUGGUAACGUUACAACUAGUGGGGUCUCUACGAAAAGAGCUCGCUGACUCCUUAUCCACUUGCCGGGUGCUGGUGGUCGGAGCUGGAGGAAUUGGCUGUGAGCUCUUGAAAAAUGUUGUUCUCACCGGUUUUAAAAAUAUAGAAGUGAUUGAUCUGGACAUUAUUGAUGUGAGCAACCUGAACAGACAGUUCCUGUUCCAGAAGAAACAUGUGGGAAAGUCCAAGGCUCAGGUGGCCAAAGAGAGUGUGCUGCAAUUCUGUCCUACUGCCAAUAUCACGGCCUACCAUGACAGCAUCAUGAAUCCAGAUUACAAUGUGGAAUUCUUCAGGAACUUCAUGCUUGUAAUGAAUGCCUUGGACAAUCGAGGUAUAGUGGAAUCUCAAUGCCUUCCUAAUGAAACCCUCAAUACUGAUCCCUAGUCAAUUUGUCUGUUUGUAGAGUAUAUUUGGUAUCUUUUACCAAUUAUUAUGGUCCUUGUCUUACCGCCAGCCAAUGUUCCCUCUAAGCUGUGUGCAGUAGCCCGAGACUGCCGUUCAGCUUCCAUGGACUGCCACACAGAAGAAAUAUAAGCCCAUGGAGAGAAGCACGAGAUUGAACUUCACACAACUUUCUAGAGUUUUCCCUGUUAACACUCAACGUUUCCCAUUACUCUGGCAAUUGUGAUUGAAUCAAUGCAAUAUUAGCCCCUUUCAAUGCAACAUACUGAAACAAAACAAACUAUGCAAGACUAAGUAUCCAAGAGAUUUUGUUGUAUGCAGAACGCAUCGGAGUAGGAUUCUAUUGAAUUGAUACGCACUACUCAGACCGUACUCUACACAGACCGGUGCGGCAUAACCAAUCAGAGCUGCAGUAGGCCUAUAUGCAAAUAGUUAAAUGCGAUAUAUGGAUCUGUGGCAUUUACUUUGAACUGAACUAUGUUGACAGCAUGAGCGGUCCUGAGUAGAUGCGCUUGUUUUGAGAUCAAAGCAAGAGCUGCAUGUAGCCACGUGUGUACAUUUUGUUCAUAUCUUUUUGGCUAGUUAGUGAGUUAUUAGCCCAGUUAUAGAUAAUUUGUAGUCAGCAAUAGGGGAGUGAUUGCUUCCUACAAGAGCAUAAAAUGUUUUUUGGAACAUUGCUGCCAGCUGAAUCUUUUCUUCCUUGCAGUGGCUCGUAACCAUGUGAACAGGAUGUGUCUUGCAGCUGACAUUCCCCUUAUUGAGAGUGGCACAGCUGGCUACCUUGGGCAGGUGACCGUUAUUAAGAAGGGUCUUACUGAGUGCUAUGAGUGCCAGCCCAAACCCACACAGAAAACAUUCCCUGGCUGCACCAUUCGCAACACCCCAUCUGAGCCCAUACAUUGCAUUGUGUGGGCCAAGUACCUUUUCAACCAGCUUUUUGGAGAGGAAGAUGCAGAUCAAGAGGUGUCCCCUGACACAGCUGACCCAGAGCUUUCAUGGAACCCUGCAGACACUGAAGCCCGAGCCACAGCAUCUGACCAGGAUGGAGACAUCAAACGUGUGUCCACUAAGGACUGGGCACGUUCCACUGGCUACGACCCAGUCAAACUCUUCAACAAGGUACUGUAGGCUUACGGCUUUUUAAAGAUGACAUCCAGUACCUCCUGACCAUGGACAAGUUGUGGAAGAAGAGGAAAGCCCCACUGCCUCUGGAUUGGCUUGAGCAUCAGAAACUUACGUGUCCCCAGGGGGUGACUGGGACGGGAUUGAAGGACCAGCAGGUGUUGGGUGUGGGAGGCUACUGCCAGCUCUUCUCCCGCAGCGUGGAAACCCUGCACUCCGUGCUGGCUGACAAAGGGGAUGGAGCAGAGCUUGUGUGGGACAAGGAUGAUCCUCCAGCGAUGGACUUUGUGACAGCAGCUGCCAACCUGCGCAUGUAUAUUUUCAGCAUGAAUAUGAAGAGCCGUUUUGACAUCAAGUCCAUGGCAGGGAACAUCAUCCCAGCGAUUGCCACGACCAAUGCAGUCAUUGCUGGCCUCAUAGUGCUGGAGGCACUGAAGAUUCUUUCAGGAGAUGUGGAGCAGUGUCGCACAGUGAGAAAUCAGGAGUGAUCCUUUCUGCUAAGGGUGGUUCUAAGCCUUCAAACAUUUUGUCAUAUUAACUAGGAACCAAACAGGACGAACCUGAACUUGUCCAAUACAAACUCUUGUUUUCGUUGCAUACCAUUUUCCGUUUGGAUCUAACCGCUUCCGUUGCUAAACGUUUUGCUAUGGUGUGCAACUAAUGAAUACACCCCGGGGGAAGUUUGACAGUAGGAAUGGGGAACUAUUUUCAAAACUCAUAAUUUUAAGUACACAACACAGCAUUUAUUUCAAAAUACAUUUGGUGACAGAACGGUUUUGUUGUAGCCCUCUUACCUGCCUGUCAUUUUGUAUCAUUCCCUGUAAUAGUAGCUGUGAUGGUUGCAGUGUAACUGUGGGCCCCUAAAGUCAAGGGCGUGGCAGGCCAGUCCACUUCUUCCACACCGAUCUCGCCAAACCAUUUCUGUAUGAACCUCACUUUGUACACGGGCAAUUUCAUGAAACAGGAUAGGGCCUUCCCCAAACUGUUGCCACACAGUUGGAAGCACAGAAUUGUCUAGAAUGUAAUUGAAUGCAGUAGCGUUAAGAUUUCCCUUCACUGGAACUAAGGGGCCUAGCCCGAACCAUGGAAAACAGCCCCAGACCAUUAUUCCUCCUCCACCAAACUUUACAGUUGGCAAUAUGCAUUCGGGCAGGUACCGUUCUCCUGACACCCACCAAACACCGAAUCGUCUGUUGGACUGCCGGAUGGCUGAGUGUGAUCCACCACUCCCAGAGGAUGCUUUUCCACUGCUCCAGAGUCCAAUGGCGGUGAACUUUACACCAAUCCAGCCGACGCUUGGCAUUGAUCAUUCCUCUUGUUACUAUUUUAAUAAUUUUUUAACUGCAUCGUUUGAAAGAGAUCGUAAACAAGCAUUUCACUGUAAAUUCUACACCUGUUGUAUUUGGCGCAUGUGACCAUAACAUUUGAUUUGAGUUAUGUAGCAUAUAGGCAUGGCCUAUGCCAAUGUACACAAACAAUGCCGGCAAGUUAAUCUCUCUAAAGAGCCAAAAAUAAUUGUGAUUAUUCUGGAUCCUGCCUUGACAUGCUGCACAUAAAAAUAUCCAUCAUGCGUUCCCUGAACAUGUUAGUUGAAAUAUCUAACUUUUGCCAGGUCUUACUUUUUCCCAGUGCCAAGUAAGUCUAGAGCUCUCCUGCUUAGUUACUUUGCUUCAAAGUAUAGCCAUUUUAUACCUGUUUCACGGAAUUAAGGAAUAUAUUAGACUUCUUGGUUGUAGGCUAAUGUUAUAGCAUAAUACCUCAGAGCGAGCGAUUGAGUGUGUAGACUUUUGGUCCAGCUCUACUCUAGCACACUGCUCAACAGGACGUUGUUAAUCUGACUCCUAUGUGGCCUAGCUCUCCAGAUGCAGAGUAACAGUGCUGUAUAUUUGACUUUAAGGCAGUGGUAUCAUUAUGAUAUUGAGUGUCAUUAUACUAGGCUGGUUUAGGUAUUGAACCCAAAAUAUUCUGAACACUUAGUUUGUGAUCUAGCUAAUGAAAGGGCUCCCGAGUGGCGCAGUGGUCGAAGACACUGCAUCUCAGUGCUAGAGGUGUCACUACAGACCCUGGUUCGAUUCCCUGCUGUAUCACACCCGGCUGUGAUUGGGAGUCGCAUAGGGCGGCACACAAUUGACCCAGUGUCGUUAGGGUUUGGCCAGGGUAGGCCGUCAUUGUAAAUAAGAAUUUGUUCUUAACUGACUUGCCUAGUUAAAUAAAGGUUAUAAUGAUUAGCCCAUCGGGGUAACCUAAACAAAUGCAGAUGGGCAACCCCAUGCUUUACCCAUCUAUAACCUAGCCACUAUGCUACAUCAGUAAGCCUAAAAUGGCACACCUGCCUGAUAAUAUAAGCUAUAGCCUUCUGAUGAAAGUCAGCCCAAAAAAAGACUUAUUUUUGCCAAUAUGUGCUCAUUUCUGGAGAGGAAUAUUGGCGUGUGUGUGGUGCGUGCAGACAUCAAGUUCGUAUUAAUUUGCAUUCCAAGUGCCAUUAAAAAUGUAGCGUCAUUGAACCUGCAGAUACCCUGUGGUUGUGAAUAAUUUAAUGGCAACUUAGGGCUGUUUUAGUGUAUAGCUAGUGUGAUCUGAAACCUAUUCCAAUGUCCAUUCCUGUAUUGUCUUCCUAGAUCUUCCUGAACAAGCAGCCCAACCCCAGGAAAAAGUUGCUGGUUCCGUGUGCUUUGGACCCACCCAGUGCCAACUGUUAUGUGUGCGCCAGCAAGCCAGAAGUCACAGUCAAACUGAAUGUGCACAAAACUCUUGUGCUGGCCCUACAAGACAAGAUAUUAAAGGAGAAGUUUGGGAUGGUGGCGCCAGAUGUGCAGAUCGAGGAUGGGAAAGGGACAAUCCUUAUCUCUUCUGAGGAGGGUGAAACAGAAGCAAACAACUGCAAGUUCCUGUCUGACUUUGCGAUUCGAAAUGGCAGCCGUCUGCAAGUGGAUGACUUUCUGCAGGAUUACACACUCCUGGUUAAUGUGAUUCACUGUGAGAACUUGGAGAAGGAUGUGGAAUUUGAGGUGGUGGGUGAUGCACCUGACAAGGCCCCAACCCCAACCAGGUCACAAGAAGAGGGAAAGAACAUUGCCAAUGGCAACAAAGAAUCUUCAGAACCGUCCACCUCUUCUGAAGCUCCUGCUGAACAGAAUGACAUUCUGCUAGUUGAUUCAGACGAGGAGGUGCCGUCCUCCAGCACUAUGGCUGUGAGCAUGGAGUCAGGAGGCCACAAGAGGAAGCUCCAUGAUGCUGAGACAGGCGAGGCCUCGGCUAAGCGCCAACACCUGAGUCAACCCUCAGCUGAUGAUGAUAAUGACAUCAUUGCGCUGGACUAGCAUGUCUCUAAACCCCCCCCCCCCCCCUGUUAGAAGAAGGGAACUAUUUUCAUGCGCCAUUCCUCUUACCAAACAUUUGUAAAUAAUAAUGUACAAAACUUACAUUUUCUGGUUAUUUGGGGUCAACAGAGUACUGUUUACAGUGGAAAUUUUGAUACAUUGCAUCUAUUUGUGAUAAAAUAUUUAAGAAAAAUAAAAAUAAUGUAUUUGUUUUGUCAA